UGGCGAACGGGUGAGUAGCACGUGGGUGAUCUGCCCUGCACUCUGGGAUAAGCCUGGGAAACUGGGUCUAAUACCGGAUAGGACCAUGCUUUAGUGUGUGUGGUGGAAAGUUUUUUCGGUGUAGGAUGAGCCCGCGGCCUAUCAGCUUGUUGGUGGGGUAAUGGCCUACCAAGGCGGCGACGGGUAGCCGGACUGAGAGGUUGGUCGGCCACAUUGGGACUGAGAUACGGCCCAG
RNAcentral lists this ribosomal RNA (235 nucleotides) under uncultured Actinomycetales bacterium. Its description in RNAcentral is "partial 16S ribosomal RNA". It matches the Rfam family "Bacterial small subunit ribosomal RNA", at positions 96 to 334 of the family's 1533-position model. Lineage: Bacteria; Bacillati; Actinomycetota; Actinomycetes; Actinomycetales. The record is from RNAcentral.